CCAUCAUGCCCCAGCUAUCUAUUUUUCGUCGCCUUACAAUCUAACAAUCUACUCGAACCAUUCUAACAUUACGAUCAACAAAUACACUAAUCAGAAUUUAGCCAAAGGACAUUGAGAUAAAUUAAUAUCCAACGUCAAAACAAUAUAACAAUGUAAGUUUCAGAUGUAAAAAAUCCUGAAUGUGCUGGAAAAUUGGUGCCCCACCAUAAGUAAACACAAUAUUUACCCCAGUUUGAUACGAGAACUUCUUUGCUUGCUCAUGUAUCUAGAGAUUUACAGCACAAACUCCAUCAAACAAAUCAAAAUUGAAAUCAUUAACAUUCUAGUGAAAUGUCAUCCAUCCUACAAAAAAUUACAAUGGAAAUGAAAUCUCCAAAUAUAAUAAAAAUCAUUACAUCAUUACAAGAAUCAUAAUCGAUAGACAGUCCAAAAAGAAAAUGAAAUGAGAAAAGAUAGCCCAUGGAAUCGAUCAUUAUCCUAGUGUCGAACUAGAUAGCAAAUCUGUAACCAUUUUUUCUAUAAAUGUAAAGAAACAUCAAAGUAAAAGAACUCUCAGGAUCCAAAAAAACAAAAUCAACAAUUUACCCACCGAAAAAAAAAUAUUAGGCAAAAAACCAGAUUUACAACGUGAAGAAAUAAAAGUAUAGUGAUUACUACGCA
Molecule: long non-coding RNA, 660 nt
Filed under: Olea europaea subsp. europaea
Lineage: Eukaryota; Viridiplantae; Streptophyta; Magnoliopsida; Lamiales; Oleaceae
Source: RNAcentral